Molecule: long non-coding RNA, 1126 nt
Filed under: Mytilus galloprovincialis (Mediterranean mussel)
Lineage: Eukaryota; Metazoa; Mollusca; Bivalvia; Mytilida; Mytilidae
Source: RNAcentral
AUUAUAUUGCUUGCAGUGUAUUAUUGUUUCUAUUUUCCUUUCUUGAUACAUGUAAUAAAAAAUUAUAUUUUUUGCAUUUUAUGCUAUUGGAAAGUGAUAUGAAUUGAUGUCAACCAAAAUUGACUUGACCAAACUUUCGUCUUUUGAUUUAUGUAUAUAUAUGUAUAUUUAGUUUAUUAUUUUUAUGAUACUUUUGUUAUUUUAAACAUAUAUACACUGAACUACUUUACCUGUUGAGACAACAGGAGUUUAUAGAAAAAUGCACAUGACGAAUACAGCUACCUGCCAUGGAUACAGGCUUGCUUAACGACUAAUUAUUCAUAUUUAUAGUGCCUAAAUUUGAACAUUUUACCCACAACAAAAUUGAUUAUAAAGUUUAUUCAUGCUUCCUUAUAUAAAAAUAUGCUUGAUUUAUAACUUGAUAUGUUGUUUUAUUGUUUUUGAUUAUUAUGUUUGAUUUUGAUUUCUUUUGAUAGCCAACUUUUGUAUGUAAAGGCCUUCACUGUUACAUUGAUUUGUUUAAUCCUAAUAUCAGUGGUUCAAAACAUCUUUUUGAAAAGAACAUGUUAGCUUUGUUUAAAGUUAUUAUUUCCAUAAGCUUGUAAAAUUGGCUAUCACAUGCCAUCAUGUAAUAUAACAUGUUCUAAUCUUAUGAUCAACGACAGACCAAGCUUAUGACCAAUAUUUCAUUCAUUAUUAAAAUGAAUUCAGGCAAUGAAACUACUUGCUUUAAACAAAUAAUUAACACAUUAAUCCUUUAUUAAGAAGUGUCUUGAAAUAAAAAAAAUUGAUAUCUGUAUGAAUGUUACAUUGUGUCUUUAAUACUUUGGUUUUAAUAUAUGUUUAUAUAUUCAAAAUAGAAAUAUUGUUAUUGUAAAUGCUUUUUAUUUUAUGAUUUGACAUGGUUAUGCUUUCUUAUAUGAGCUAAAGGUAUAAUUACACAUUAAUAAACCAAAAUUAUUUCUGUCUUGAAAAGAAUAUUAAUGAUUACAUUUCUAUACAUUUUGUUUUCACUCGAUGAAAUAUGAAAAUCAUGAUUAAUUACUGUUAAAAUUUAUAACGGAAACUAAAUUCAGAUAUACAUUCGAUUAAUUGUCACUUCUAUGAUAUAUAUAUUAUAUAUUUC